This 575-nucleotide long non-coding RNA is filed under the name Vombatus ursinus (common wombat). Its description in RNAcentral is "lncRNA (ENSVURG00010011417.1)". Lineage: Eukaryota; Metazoa; Chordata; Mammalia; Diprotodontia; Vombatidae. The record is from RNAcentral.
UGUUAUUAUUAUUACUGUUACAUUGCUUCAUUUUCCCUAACUGUCUUUCUCUCUGUCUCAAUGGCAGCAAAUAUUAGAAUCCAAGAAGAAUGAUUUCAUAUGUCAAAAUGAAAAAGAAUCAACCAAAUAUUGUCAAACUAAGCUUAAGGACUUCUCUCAGACCCGAUGGAAGCCAUUUGUUAAGGCACCUUCUCUGUGCCAGGGAGUUACCAGCUCUUCAGGAAAGAAAGAGAAAAAAUGAUAAAAGAUUACCAUCAAGAUCCCAGGAAAGGGGUAAAGGUGAAAGGGUAAAAAGAGAAGCAGCUGAGCAGAAGAAGUUGUUGGAACAGCAACAAAUAGAAAUGCAGCAAAAGAUGGAUUCUCAGCUGAAAAGUUAUGAAGAAAACAUCAACCAAUUGAAAAAGAAGAUGGAAGAAGAUAGGAUCCAGAUCCUGGGAAAACAAAAAAUUAUUCUGGAUCAUAAGCUAAAGGAACAAAAGCAGGUGAUGGAGGAAGAAAGCUGAAGAAAUGGAAAGAGAGGUAGAGGACCUGCAAAAAAAGAUUAAGGCUGCUGAGAGUGAAAAGUCCUGCUGGUG